UUUAGAAGUGGGUGUGUGUGACCGUGAGAACAAGACCAAGGGGGAAACCCUAUUUCUUCAAAAUCUUGCAAAUUAAAGGAGAAAAGGGCUAAAUUUUGAAUGCAUGAACUAAGAAUGAUGAUCAUCUAAGCAUACCCAACAUCAAGAACGUGUCAAGGAGAGGUCAAGCAUAGGAGGAUAACGGGUCAAGAUAAGGCAAGGUGACAAAUACACUUAUUGGAGUACUCGAGGUAUGGGAUCGUUGGCUUCAUGAAGAAAUGGAGCUGGAUUUGGAUAAGAGUAUUUAAGAAAGCGCUUGGACAAUUCCACGACUACUUUAUAGAAUGCUCUACGAAAUUUUAUUAUAUAGUUUAAUGUUGAAUGGUAUGUUAAUGACUAAUGGUUUGGUUGUACGUGGUGUCCACAGGUAUCGCUUGGGUUUUCUCUACAUUUAUUGAAGUGAAGCGGACUUAGUUCGAGUUGAGAGCAAGGAUUGUACGGGGUAGAAUGGUCACAUAGUGUAACUCAUAUAGGUUUUGAAGUAUUAAUGUUAUAAAACGUUAUAAAUCCGUUUUAAUGAAUAUAUGGCAUUUCGCACUUGAACCUUCAUGUGUUUGAUAUGUCUAUUAAAGAACGAAAUUUUUGGGCUCUUGUUUUCCGCUGCGUCGUAUUUUAAGUUAUUACGCGUUAGUCUUACAGGGAAUUGUUCUUAUUACGAACGGGUCAUGCCCGAAUUUUGUUAAAUAAUAGUAUGAUAAUAUUACAUUUUGGAAUGUGUAAUUUGGGUGUAACAAGUUGGUAUCAGAGCCCUGGUUUGAGAGAAUUAAGUACGAGAGUAUAAGUACUUGAACUCAAACCUGUGUGCUCUUGUGAUAAGGAACCCGUACAAUCCAUGACUCGAUCAAGAUCUAAAGGUAGAAAUGGAACGAAAAUGUGUAAGUAUAUAUUAGAUUAUGUAUUUGAAAGAAACUAAUAGUGUGUUAUGUGCAAGGUAAGCUUAAGAGCUUGAAGAGGAUGAUCCGUGAAUACAGAAUAGGAUGAACGCUAAGGCGGGCAAAGGUGCAAAUAGGCAAAUUAACCCCAGGAACGUGUCAAGGAGAGGUCAAGCAUAGGAGGAUAACGGGUCAAGAUAAGGCAAGGUGACAAAUACACUUAUUGGAGUACUCGAGGUAUGGGAUCGUUGGCUUCAUGAAGAAAUGGAGCUGGAUUUGGAUAAGAGUAUUUAAGAAAGCGCUUGGACAAUUCCACGACUACUUUAUAGAAUGCUCUACGAAAUUUUAUUAUAUAGUUUAAUGUUGAAUGGUAUGUUAAUGACUAAUGGUUUGGUUGUACGUGGUGUCCACAGGUAUCGCUUGGGUUUUCUCUACAUUUAUUGAAGUGAAGCGGACUUAGUUCGAGUUGAGAGCAAGGAUUGUACGGGGUAGAAUGGUCACAUAGUGUAACUCAUAUAGGUUUUGAAGUAUUAAUGUUAUAAAACGUUAUAAAUCCGUUUUAAUGAAUAUAUGGCAUUUCGCACUU
RNAcentral lists this long non-coding RNA (1497 nucleotides) under Helianthus annuus (common sunflower). RNAcentral's name for it is "hypothetical non coding rna". The record is from RNAcentral. Lineage: Eukaryota; Viridiplantae; Streptophyta; Magnoliopsida; Asterales; Asteraceae.